UGUUGAAGCUCGGCAUCAAGU
Molecule: non-coding RNA, 21 nt
Organism: Caenorhabditis elegans
Lineage: Eukaryota; Metazoa; Nematoda; Chromadorea; Rhabditida; Rhabditidae
Source: Ensembl